Felis catus (domestic cat) is the source of this 972-nucleotide long non-coding RNA. RefSeq lists it as uncharacterized. The record is from RefSeq and is a predicted model, not a curated record. The transcript has 7 exons. Lineage: Eukaryota; Metazoa; Chordata; Mammalia; Carnivora; Felidae.
CCGAGCCCUCGCCGUGAGGGAAAGGAGAUAUUGGUCCUCCUCUGACGUAUCUGGUGACCAGGACGAGAACGCUGGGGCAUCGUGCUCUCUCGGCGGCCGGCAGGGGCAUUCUGGGAAAACUGGCCGAGGCCACCUAAAGGCUUUGGGAAUAGAUAAGAAAGAGAAUGGCUGACCUCUGGAUUUCCAGGUUUGUGAGAGCCUCGUGAGGUUGAGAAAAGACCAAGUGAUUGGAGCCUCACUGUAAAGAUAAAGGAAGAUUAUUCAACCCUCCAGUGGUACUUGCCAAGAGAUACAGAAGUCUGGAUCUGCAAUGAGGCUGCAAGGUGAUUUCUGAUCAGUGAAGAAUAGAGUUGGAGUUUUAAAAAGGAGGAAUCUAGAUCUUAAAUGCCCCGGGUUCAAACCCAGGUCCCCUGACAUGGAGCAGAAUACUGCAGAAAGCGCCAGUAUGCAGUGGAUCCUCUUCAUAAGGCCCUGCCAGAAAUAUCCCCAGUACUGACUGCCAGAACUGGAGAGGAUUUAUCGCUACCAGAUAAAACUGGCCAGCACAAUUCAAACACCUGGGCAAUUUUGCCUUAUCUUCCUAGAAUGAAACAGAAGUCAAAUGAAAAUGAAAGAAGUUAAAAAAGUACACGGACUUCAUUUAAAGCCUGGAGAUUCAAAGAGAGGAAACUGAAGCAUGGAAUCAGAAGAUCCCCCAUUUCCGAGGAUGCUCUGAUUUUAUAAAUCAAGUUGGUACUCUCCCUGGUGUGAAAGACACUUCAAGCUCAUAUCCAGCAGGACAGUUUAUGGGGCUUCCAAAGGGGAUUUGUUUUUGUCCAUUUGGCCGGAAUCUUCAUACCAUAAAUCUAUGAUAAUUACACAAGUGGGGAUCAGAAUAUCCACCUCCCAUAUGUUGACUGUAUGCUACUCAGCCUUAUACAAUAAGAAUACUAAUUUGUUGAAGUCCCAUUAAAACUCAUUUGCACAUUUUGA